AGCAUUGUAGCAAUACAGAUGAUGGCAACCGGCGCACGGGUGAGUAACGCGUAUGCACUUACCUAUCGAGGGGGAUAGCCCGGCGAAAGUCGGAUUAAUACCCCAUAAACCCGCAUGGGUAAAGAUUCAUCGCUGUAGAUAGGCAUGCGUUCCAUUAGGCAGUUGGCGGGGUAACGGCCCACCAAACCGACGAUGGAUAGGGGUUCUGAGAAGAAGGUCCCCCACAUUGGUACUGAGACACGGACCAAACUCCUACGGGAGGCAGCAGUGAGGAAUAUUGGUCAAUGGCCGAGAGGCUGAACCAGCCAAGUCGCGUGAAGGAAGAAGGAUUAUGGUUUGUAAACUUCUUUUAUAGGGGAAUAAGUGGAGGACGUGUCCUUUUUUGUAUGUACCCUAUGAAUAAGCAUCGGCUAACUCCGUGCCAGCAGCCGCGGUAAUACGGAGGAUGCGAGCGUUAUCCGGAUUUAUUGGGUUUAAAGGGUGCGUAGGUGGUAUUUAAGUCAGCGGUGAAAGUUUGUGGCUCAACCAUAAAAUUGCCGUUGAAACUGGGUUACUUGAGUGUGUUUGAGGUAGGCGGAAUGCGUGGUGUAGCGGUGAAAUGCAUAGAUAUCACGCAGAACUCCGAUUGCGAAGGCAGCUUACUAAACCAUAACUGACACUGAAGCACGAAAGCGUGAGGAUCAAACAGGAUUAGAUACCCUGGUAG
RNAcentral lists this ribosomal RNA (706 nucleotides) under uncultured bacterium. Its description in RNAcentral is "bacterial SSU rRNA". It matches the Rfam family "Bacterial small subunit ribosomal RNA", at positions 70 to 793 of the family's 1533-position model. The record is from RNAcentral.